RNAcentral lists this ribosomal RNA (253 nucleotides) under uncultured bacterium. Its description in RNAcentral is "partial 16S ribosomal RNA". It matches the Rfam family "Bacterial small subunit ribosomal RNA", at positions 524 to 776 of the family's 1533-position model. The record is from RNAcentral.
UACGGAGGGUGCAAGCAUUAAUCGGAUUUAUUGGGCGUAAAGGGCGCGUAGAUGGGAAAAUAAGUCAGAUGUGAAAUUCCGAUGCUCAACAUCGGAGCUGCAUUUGAAACUAUUUUUCUAGAGGAUAGGCGGAGAAAGCGGAAUUCCACGUGUAGCGGUGAAAUGCGUAGAUAUGUGGAAGAACACCUGUGGCGAAAGCGGCUUUCUAGCUUAUAGCUGACAUUGAGGCGCGAGAGCAAGGGGAGCAAACAGG